CGCGUAGGUGGUUGCGUAAGUCGGAUGUGAAAUCCUGAGGCUUAACCUCAGAACUGCAUCUGAUACUGCGUGACUCGAGUGCAGCAGAGGGAAACGGAAUUCCUGGUGUAGAGGUGAAAUUCGUAGAUAUCAGGAGGAACACCGGUGGCGAAGGCGGUUUCCUGGGCUGACACUGACACUGAGGCGCGAAAGCGUGGGUAGCAAACAGGAUUAGAUACCCUGGUAGUCCACGCUGUAAACGGUGAGUACUGGGUGUGGGAGGUGUAAUGCCUUCUGUGCCGAAGCUAACGCGUUAAGUACUCGCCUGGGGAGUACGGCCGCAAGGUUGAA
This 330-nucleotide ribosomal RNA is filed under the name uncultured bacterium. RNAcentral's name for it is "bacterial SSU rRNA". It matches the Rfam family "Bacterial small subunit ribosomal RNA", at positions 568 to 898 of the family's 1533-position model. The record is from RNAcentral.